CUCAUCCUCGCCUUCGUCACCUUCGUCUUCAUCAUCUUCAUCAUCCUGGCCUUCAUCAUCCUCAUCAUCCUCCUGAGCUUCAUCAUCAUCCUCAUCGUCCUCGUCCUGACCUUCAUCAUCCUCCUCGUCCUGACCUUCAUCAUCAUCGUCGUCAUCCUGUCCUUCAUCACCAUCGUCUUCAUCAGCCCCGGGAAGGGAAUUCACCGUCACCUUCAUCACCUUCAUCAUCCUCACCUUCAUCUUCCUCGCCUGGGGAUGGGAGAGCUUCGUCGUCUUCAUCGUCUUCACCUUCAUCAUCCUCGCCGCGAAACGAGAGGGGGAGGCCUUCGUCGUCAUCAUCAUCAUCCUCCCCUUCCUGAGCCUUUGGCCUCGUCGGGUUGGGUUUCCUCCUCCUCCUCAGGGGGGUGAGGGACCCUCAUCAUCCUCGCUGUGAAAUGAGGGGCCUUCAUCCUCCUCCUCCUCCUCCUCGUGAGCCUUCGGCCUCGUCGGGUUCGGUUGUAUUCCCUCCUCCUCCUCCUCAUGACCUUCGGCCUCACUGGCUUUGAUUCCCUCCUCCUCCUCCUCCCGAGCCUUCGGCCUCAUCGGGUUCACGAUUCCUCCUCCUCCUCCUCGGCUUCGAUUUCCUCCUCUUCCUCCUCCUGAGCCUUCGGCCUCGCCGCCUUUGGGUUUCUCUCCCUCCUCUUCCUCUUCCUCCCCUCCCCUCCCCCCAAAAUCGGCGCUGUCGGAGGGACCCCCCCCAAAAAAACCCCAAAAAUCCCCAAAUUUGGGGGUUCGGCCCCAAAAUAAACAAAAAAACCCCAAAAUUGGGAAAAUUUGGAGCUUUUGCCCCCCAAAAAUCCCAAAAUUUGAGGGGUUUGCCCCCAAAAAAAAGGGAAAAUUUGGGGUUUCCUCCCAAAAAGCCCCAAAAUUGGGGAAAUUCGGGGCCCCUCCCCCAAUAAAGGAAAUGCUCUGGAAUUUUGGGGUUUUGGUGCCUUUUUUGGGGGAAAAAAGGGAAUUUUUGGGUAAAAAAUGGGAUUUUUGGGUAAAAAAUGGGAAUUUUUGGGUGAAAAUAUGGAAAUUUUUGGGUUUGGGGAGGAUUUUUGGGGUGAAAAAAGGGAAUUUUGGGGAGAAAAUGGGAAUUUUUGGGGUGAAAAAUGGGAAUUUUUGGGGUUCCUGGAGAUAUUCUGGGGGAAAAAUUGGGAAUUUUUGGGGGUAAAAAAUGGAGAUUUGGGGAAAAAAGGGAAUUUUCUGAGUGAAAAAUGGAAAUUUUGGGGGUUCCAGGAGGAAUUUUGGGGAAAUAUGGAAAUUUGGGG
RNAcentral lists this long non-coding RNA (1292 nucleotides) under Junco hyemalis (dark-eyed junco). RNAcentral's name for it is "lncRNA (ENSJHYG00000000802.1)". Lineage: Eukaryota; Metazoa; Chordata; Aves; Passeriformes; Passerellidae. The record is from RNAcentral.